Non-coding RNA from Triticum aestivum (bread wheat), 93 nucleotides. Lineage: Eukaryota; Viridiplantae; Streptophyta; Magnoliopsida; Poales; Poaceae. The record is from Rfam.
CAAGUUCGGGUGAUGAUCACAAGUUCAUAGUUCAGAUGGCCAAACUGUGACUAUUUGAACAAAAUAGUCUUCCGCUCCUAGCUGAUGAGCUUU